GGGGNGGNUUNNNNUUAUGGCNUCCUGGUGGUCACGGGUAACGGGGAAUUAGGGUUCGAUUCCGGAGAGGGAGCCUGAGAAACGGCUACCACAUCCAAGGAAGGCAGCAGGCGCGCAAAUUACCCAAUCCCGACACGGGGAGGUAGUGACAAUAAAUAACAAUACGGGGCUCUUUCGGGUCUCGUAAUUGGAAUGAGUACAAUUUAAAUCCCUUAACGAGGAACAAUUGGAGGGCAAGUCUGGUGCCAGCAGCCGCGGUAAUUCCAGCUCCAAUAGCGUAUAUUAAAGUUGUUGCAGUUAAAAAGCUCGUAGUUGAAUUUCGGGAUUGACACAUCGGUCGUGCCUUAAGGGGUAUGAACUGGUGUAGUCAAUUUCUCACCUUCUGGAGAACCGCGAUGCCCUUAAUUGGGUGUCACGGGGAACCAGGACCUUUACUUUGAAAAAAUUAGAGUGUUUAAAGCAGGCAUUUUGCUUGAAUACAUUAGCAUGGAAUAAUAAAAUAGGACGGCAUGAUUCUAUUUUGUUGGUUUCUAGGAUCACCGUAAUGAUUAAUAGGGAUAGUUGGGGGCAUUAGUAUUCAAUUGUCAGAGGUGAAAUUCUUGGAUUUAUUGAAGACUAACUACUGCGAAAGCAUUUGCCAAGGAUGUUUUCAUUAAUCAAGAACGAAAGUUAGGGGAUCGAAGACGAUCAGAUACCGUCGUAGUCUUAACCAUAAACUAUGCCGACUAGGAAUCAGACGAUGUUAAUUUUUUAAGGACUCNUUGNAGNNUAUNNANANNNANNNNNNCCC
This 790-nucleotide ribosomal RNA is filed under the name Glomus sp. 0828-5. Its description in RNAcentral is "partial 18S ribosomal RNA". It matches the Rfam family "Eukaryotic small subunit ribosomal RNA", at positions 324 to 1077 of the family's 1831-position model. The record is from RNAcentral. Lineage: Eukaryota; Fungi; Glomeromycota; Glomeromycetes; Glomerales; Glomeraceae.